GCUUGGAAGCAGCCAUCCUUUAAAGAAAGCGUAACAGCUCACUGGUCUAGUAAUUUGGCGCCGAAAAUGUAAAGGGACUAAAGACAUUUACCGAAGUAGUAACUAUAUGUUUCAUAACUAAACGUAUAUGAAACAUGUGGGGUAGCAGAACGUUCUGUAGAUCGAAGAAGUUAUCUUGGAAAAGAUAAUGGAGGUAUCAGAAGUGAGAAUGCUGACAUAAGUAACGAUAAACCAGAGCCUAGCUUUAAAAGGCCGGGCAGAAUUCUGGUCGCCGUAAGCCCAAGGGUUUCUAUAGUAAAGUUCGACUUCAUAGAUUAAAUCGGUCCCUAAGAACAAAGCGAAAGCUGUAAUCGAUGGGAAAUAUUUAUAAAUAUCUUUUGAUGAUGACGAAAAUUAGAAGUUAACUAGUUCAAGAACCUGUUAUUAUAAUUUUCCAGGAAAAAGUCACAAAGUUUUAUAUAAAAGACCGUACCCGAAACCGACACAGGUGGGCGAGUCGAGUAGACUCAGGCGCGUGAGAGAAUCAAGUUUAAGGAACUCGGCAAAAUGACCUUGUAACUUCGGAAUAAAAGGUACUCAUACGAGUGACACAAAAUUGGGGGUAACGACUGUUUAAUAAAAACACAGGGCUCUGCUAAGUCGUAAGACGAUGUAUAGGGUCUGACACCUGCCCGGUGCCAGAAGGUUAAGAGGAGAGGUAUAUGCUUCAAAUUGAAUCCCUGGUAAACGGCGGCCGUAACUCUGACGGUCCUAAGGUAGCGAAAUUCCUUGUUAAUUAAUUGUUGACCUGCAUGAAUGGUGUAACGAUUUCCCCACUGUCUCAAACUUGAUCUCAGUGAAAUUGAAUUGUCCGUGAAGAUGCGGACUAUCUACGGCUAGACGGAAAGACCCCGUGCACCUUUACUACAAUUUUUCAUUGUGUAUUAAACUUAAUUAUGCAGGAUAAGUGGGAGCUUAUGACUAUUUAGCACAAGCUAAAUACGAGGCGACCUUGAGAUACCACUUUUUUAAGCUUUAAUCACUUAACUUAAUUUUUUUAAUAUUUAACGAAGAAUGAGGAAAGUGAAUGAUUGGUAGUUUGACUGGGGCGGUCACCUCCUAAAGAGUAACGGAGGUGCGCAAAGGCAAGCUCAAACUGGAAAAAUAUCAGUUGUAGAGCGUAAUAGUAUAUGCUUGCCUGACUGUGAGGCAGACAUGCCGAGCAGGCAUAGGUAAUUUAUUAUACCUGUGGGUUAUAGUGAUCCGGUGGUCCAUUAUGGAAUGGCCAUCGCUCAACGGAUAAAAGGUACGCCGGGGGUAACAGGCUAAUGACUCUUAAGAGCCCCUAUCGAUGGAGUCGUUUGGCACCUCAAUGUCGACUCAUCACAUCCUGGAGCUGAAGAAGGUUCCAAGGGUUGGACUGUUCGUCCAUUAAAGUGGUACGUGAGUUGGGUUUAGAACGUCGUGAGACAGUUUGGUCCCUAUCUACCGU
This 1471-nucleotide ribosomal RNA is filed under the name metagenome. RNAcentral describes it as "bacterial LSU rRNA". It matches the Rfam family "Bacterial large subunit ribosomal RNA", at positions 1104 to 2648 of the family's 2925-position model. The record is from RNAcentral.